AUUUUGUGCCUCAAGAUUGGUCUGGCGAGCUUCAUUAGUCUCCAGUAGAGACUGAAUGGAUGUGAGGCGGUCCUGGAUGGCCUGAAAGAGGUCUUCCAAUUCCUUGGAGAUCUGCUUAGGAGGCAUGGAGGAAGACAAUGAAAGCACCAAUGAUAAAGUAAGCUACAAUGACUACCAAAUUAACCAAUACUCAGAAAAAAAUAUUAGGGUAAAAGUUUA
This 219-nucleotide long non-coding RNA is filed under the name Phaseolus vulgaris (common bean). Its description in RNAcentral is "long non-coding RNA (PVUL_LNC000631)". The record is from RNAcentral. Lineage: Eukaryota; Viridiplantae; Streptophyta; Magnoliopsida; Fabales; Fabaceae.